GCCCGGAUGGCGGAAUUGGCAGACGCGCAUGAUUCAGGUUCAUGUGUCCGCAAGGACAUGCAGGUUCGACCCCUGUUCCGGGCACAA
Molecule: transfer RNA, 87 nt
Filed under: Bacteroidota bacterium
Lineage: Bacteria; Pseudomonadati; Bacteroidota
Description: Bacteroidetes bacterium tRNA-Leu
Rfam family: tRNA
About the family: Transfer RNA (tRNA) molecules are approximately 80 nucleotides in length.
Source: RNAcentral